This 1392-nucleotide long non-coding RNA is filed under the name Cricetulus griseus (Chinese hamster). Its description in RNAcentral is "lncRNA (ENSCGRG00000025309.1)". Lineage: Eukaryota; Metazoa; Chordata; Mammalia; Rodentia; Cricetidae. The record is from RNAcentral.
GGCUCCUAGCUGAGAGCACACCCUGUCACCUGAGCUGCAGAAGGCAAAUGCAAGGAAAACAGGCUGAAUGGAAAUGUCUGUUUAACUAUCCUAAGAGCCAGGGAAAAGGCACAGACAGGUUCCAGAGGGUCCAAACUGCAGAGGGAAGAUCAGAGUGAGCUCGCAGUCGCCAAACAGCAGUUUGGAUGGCCCGAAGGUGGCACUGGAGAAAGCAAAGGAGAAUGCCCUACAUAGGAAACUCUUGUCUUAUGUGGCCACUGCGCUGGCUACAGGCAGCAGAACCAUUUCCAGCUGACUUCAGUUUUCCCCAAUUGGGGCAGCGGCGGAGAACCAGAGCUUUCCCCCUGGGCAAACUUGUGAAACCAGAGCGUGGCUCCGAGGGCUCCAACGGCUCCAACGCUUGUCUUAGCUCUCUGGCUGGUCCCUGUCGCUCUGAAAUGCAGUGCUGCCCUCUGCUGGCUGUCUUGAGGUACAGCGGCUCUGUACCUCAGGGACCCUGACUCCUUGUCUGGGGGGAGAGCUGCACAAAAACAGCACAAACCCGGAAAGAUCCUCGGAAAACACCUCUGGCUGUCUUUGGCUUUGAAUUUAAACAGGGACAGCUAAUUCUCGGGCGCGAGUUUAGCAAACUAGGUUCCAGGGUCUUGAAUGUUCAAAGAACAAUGGCUGCUAGCCCCACCCACCUCCUAGAUUCCAGGUCCUGGGCUGCCUCCCAAAGACACGCCCGGAGAUUCUGAAGUUCCUGCUGGUUGUUCAUGGCCUGGGGUUGCCGGCAUGGGUAGAAGCCACCAAGCUCCUGCUUCCCUGCCUCUCCAAAGAUUUCCACCACUGAUGUUUAAAUCCCCCACAGUUGCUAGCUGAAAUAGGCCCAGUUUCUGCAGAAGGGGCCCAGCAUUAGUUAGAGUUUAUGUUAGAUACACUUGGAUGGUCAAAAAAAAAAAGUGAUUUAGUUGCCUGGUGCUAUGCUACGGUAUUAACAAAAGCCACCAUAUGUAUUGCCUUUUUAUAUUAAAAAAAUUUUUUUUUGAACUGGGUGGUGGUGGCUCAUGCUAAAUCCCAGCACUCAGGAGGCAGAGGCAAGCGGAUCUCUGAGGCCAGCCUGGUCUACAGAGGGAGUUCCAGGACAGUCCCAAGGCUACACAGAGAGAAACCCUGUCUUGAAAAUCAAAAACAGCCGGGAGGUGGUGGCACACAUCUUGACUCCCAGAACUUGGGAGGCAGGGGCAGGGGCAGAGGCAGAGGGUCUCUGUGAGUUCGAGACCAGCCUGGUCUACAAGAGCUAGUUCCAGGACAGCCUCCAAAGCCACAGAGAAACUCUGCCUCGAUAAACCCAACAAACAAACAAAAAUCAAACAAACAAAAGAAGCAAGCCAAAUGCCAUUUAUUCCUUUC